CAGUAGCCACGGUAAUACGAAGGGGGCUAGCGUUGUUCGGAAUUACUGGGCGUAAAGCGCACGUAGGCGGAUAUUUAAGUCAGGGGUGAAAUCUCAGAGCUCAACUCUGGAACUGCCUUUGAUACUGGGUAUCUUGAGUAUGGAAAAGGUGAGUGGAAUUCCGAGUGUAGAGGUGAAAUUCGUAGAUAUUCGGAGGAACACCAGUGGCGAAGGCGGCUCACUGGUCCAUUACUGACGCUGAGGUGCGAAAGCGUGGGGAGCAAACAGGAUUAGAUACCCCAGUAGUCCCUGUCUCUUAUAC
This 301-nucleotide ribosomal RNA is filed under the name uncultured bacterium. Its description in RNAcentral is "partial 16S ribosomal RNA". It matches the Rfam family "Bacterial small subunit ribosomal RNA", at positions 509 to 807 of the family's 1533-position model. The record is from RNAcentral.